CCUACGGGCGGCUGCAGUGGGGAAUAUUGCACAAUGGGCGCAAGCCUGAUGCAGCAACGCCGCGUGAAUGAUGAAGGCCUUCGGGUCGUAAAGUUCUGUCCAAAGGGAAGAAUAAAAUGACGGUACCUUUGGAGGAAGCCCCGGCUAACUACGUGCCAGCAGCCGCGGUAAUACGUAGGGGGCAAGCGUUAUCCGGAAUCACUGGGCGUAAAGGGAGCGUAGGCGGUUUGACAAGCCAGAGGUGAAAGGCAAUAGCUUAACUAUUGUAAGCCUUUGGAACUGUCGAACUUGAGUGCAGGAGAGGAAAGUGGAAUUCCUAGUGUAGCGGUGAAAUGCGUAGAUAUUAGGAGGAACACCAGUGGCGAAGGCGACUUUCUGGACUGUAACUGACGCUGAGGCUCGAAAGCGUGGGGAGCGAACAGGAUUAGAUACCCCGGUAGUC
This 442-nucleotide ribosomal RNA is filed under the name uncultured Eubacteriales bacterium. Its description in RNAcentral is "bacterial SSU rRNA". It matches the Rfam family "Bacterial small subunit ribosomal RNA", at positions 338 to 795 of the family's 1533-position model. Lineage: Bacteria; Bacillati; Bacillota; Clostridia; Eubacteriales. The record is from RNAcentral.